RNAcentral lists this transfer RNA (73 nucleotides) under Merluccius polli (Benguela hake). It matches the Rfam family "tRNA". From Rfam's summary of the family: Transfer RNA (tRNA) molecules are approximately 80 nucleotides in length. The record is from Rfam by way of RNAcentral. Lineage: Eukaryota; Metazoa; Chordata; Actinopteri; Gadiformes; Merlucciidae.
GCAUUGGUGGUUCAGUGUGUAGAAUUCGCGCCUGCCCACGCGGGAGGCCCGGGUUCGAUUCCCGGCCAAUGCA